CUUCCAUGCAGUCGACGGCAGCACGGGCUUCGGCCUGGUGGCGAGUGGCGAACGGGUGAGUAAUACAUCGGAACGUGCCCUGUAGUGGGGGAUAACUAGUCGAAAGAUUAGCUAAUACCGCAUACGACCUGAGGGUGAAAGCGGGGGACCGCAAGGCCUCGCGCUACAGGAGCGGCCGAUGUCUGAUUAGCUAGUUGGUGGGGUAAAAGCCUACCAAGGCGACGAUCAGUAGCUGGUCUGAGAGGACGAUCAGCCACACUGGGACUGAGACACGGCCCAGACUCCUACGGGAGGCAGCAGUGGGGAAUUUUGGACAAUGGGGGCAACCCUGAUCCAGCAAUGCCGCGUGUGUGAAGAAGGCCUUCGGGUUGUAAAGCACUUUUGUCCGGAAAGAAAUGGCCUGGGUGAAUACCCCGGGUCGAUGACGGUACCGGAAGAAUAAGCACCGGCUAACUACGUGCCAGCAGCCGCGGUAACACGUAGGGUGCGAGCGUUAAUCGGAAUUACUGGGCGUAAAGCGUGCGCAGGCGGUUUUGUAAGACAGGCGUGAAAUCCCCGAGCUUAACUUGGGAAUGGCGCUUGUGACUGCAAGGCUAGAGUAUGUCAGAGGGGGGUAGAAUUCCACGUGUAGCAGUGAAAUGCGUAGAGAUGUGGAGGAAUACCGAUGGCGAAGGCAGCCCCCUGGGACGUCACUGACGCUCAUGCACGAAAGCGUGGGGAGCAAACAGGAUUAGAUACCCUGGUAGUCCACGCCCUAAACGAUGUCAACUAGUUGUUGGGGAUUCAUUUCUUCAGUAACGUAGCUAACGCGUGAAGUUGACCGCCUGGGGAGUACGGUCGCAAGAUUAAAACUCAAAGGAAUUGACGGGGACCCGCACAAGCGGUGGAUGAUGUGGAUUAAUUC
RNAcentral lists this ribosomal RNA (904 nucleotides) under uncultured bacterium. RNAcentral describes it as "bacterial SSU rRNA". It matches the Rfam family "Bacterial small subunit ribosomal RNA", at positions 50 to 952 of the family's 1533-position model. The record is from RNAcentral.